GUUUAGUGGCGGACGGGUGAGUAACACGUUGGUACCUGCCCUUUAGGUGGGGAAUAACUCGGCGAAAGUCGGGCUAAUACCGCAUGUGAUCCUUCGGGAUCAAAGCCUUCGGGGCGCUAAAGGAGGGGCCUGCGUCUGAUUAGCUUGUUGGUAAGGUAAUGGCUUACCAAGACGAUGAUCAGUAGCUGGUUCGAGAGGAUGAUCAGCCACACUGGAACUGAGAUACGGUCCAGACUCCUACGGGAGGCAGCAGUAAGGAAUCUUCCGCAAUGGACGAAAGUCUGACGGAGCAACGCCGCGUGCAGGAUGAAGGCUUUCGGGUCGUAAACUGCUUUUGUAUGGGAAGAUUAUGACGGUACCAUACGAAUAAGGACCGGCUAACUACGUG
Molecule: ribosomal RNA, 388 nt
Filed under: uncultured bacterium
Lineage: Bacteria
Description: bacterial SSU rRNA
Rfam family: Bacterial small subunit ribosomal RNA
Source: RNAcentral